Molecule: long non-coding RNA, 472 nt
Filed under: Homo sapiens (human)
Lineage: Eukaryota; Metazoa; Chordata; Mammalia; Primates; Hominidae
Description: HSALNT0124393
Source: RNAcentral
GGCACUUUCCCAGUCCCCGAGGCGGAUCCGGUGUUGCAUCCUUGGAGAGAGCUGAGAGCUGGAGUACAGAACCUGCUAAGGCCAUCAAACCUAUUGAUCGGAAGUCAGUCCAUCAGAUUUGCUCUGGGCAGGUGGUACUGAGUCUAAGCACUGCGGUGAAGAAGAUAGUAGAAAACAGUCUGGAUGCUGGUGCCACUAAUAUUGAUCUAAAGCUUAAGGACUAUGGAAUGGAUCUCAUUGAAGUUUCAGGCAAUGGAUGUGGGGUAGAAGAAGAAAACUUUAAAGGCUUAAUGAUGUCACCAUUUCUACCUGCCACGUAUCGGCGAAGGUUGGGACUCGACUGGUGUUUGAUCACGAUGGGAAAAUCAUCCAGAAAACCCCCUACCCCCACCCCAGAGGGACCACAGUCAGCGUGAAGCAGUUAUUUUCUACGCUACCUGUGCGCCAUAAGGAAUUUCAAAGGAAUAUUAAG